Non-coding RNA from Oryza nivara, 202 nucleotides. Lineage: Eukaryota; Viridiplantae; Streptophyta; Magnoliopsida; Poales; Poaceae. The record is from Rfam.
AAAUAAUGCAGACAUGAGUUUCUGUGUCUAAUUCUAAUCGUCCGUCUUAUUUAAUUCUUUUUAUGAUUAGUAUUUUUAUUGUUAUAAGAUUAUAAAACAUAAAUAAUAUUUUGUGCAUGACUUAUAUUUUUUAGUUUUUUUUUAAAAAAUAAAUAAGACGGACUAUCAAAGUUGGACACGAAAACUCAUGACUGCGUUUAUU